Long non-coding RNA from Branchiostoma floridae (Florida lancelet), 539 nucleotides. RefSeq lists it as uncharacterized. The record is from RefSeq and is a predicted model, not a curated record. Lineage: Eukaryota; Metazoa; Chordata; Leptocardii; Amphioxiformes; Branchiostomatidae. The transcript has 4 exons.
UUUCCCAUAGGUUGACAUCUUCUGCAAUGCCCUCGACAUCUGUGGCUACCAUGAUGUUUCCUAUGACUGUAGAGAGACAUACAACCAUGAGAUCUUGUCCUCAUCUAGUGUGUACACCACUGGUGGCACAGGUGUUCAAGUUACUGGUACCACAGGCUUGGCCCUGCAUGAUGACACCCUGAAGAUAAUCUCUGACAAGAUCUCAUCCAACUGGAAGCUUGUCUGUCAGGCCCUUGGUUGUGGAGUGGACUUCAUGACCAAGAUUGAGCACGAUUGUGGUGAUGACCUCUACCUGUGUGCUCACACCAUGCUCAAGGACUGGUGUGAUUCCAUCGAUGUGUCAUACAGCGAUAAGGUCACAUACUUGUGUCAGGCCCUGGAUAUCUGUGGCUUCACCGACUGUGUGUCUAUCGUGCAAGACAAGUAUCGCACAGAGUGCAGCCUGGUGCUGUCUGAUUCCAAGAUCAGCCACUACUGUGACACCAUCAGCAGGGAUUGGAAGGAGAUCUGCAUUGCUCUGCACUGUGAUGAUGACUUCA